CUGAAGUCAGGCUCGAUCAAUUUUGUUCAAUCUUCACCUGUACAUCUCAAUCAUAGGAAACCCAUCUUGAUUCGAUCAUGUUCAGUCAAAGCUCAUCAAGCUCUGGGG
This is a long non-coding RNA of Telopea speciosissima, 108 nucleotides long. RefSeq lists it as uncharacterized. Lineage: Eukaryota; Viridiplantae; Streptophyta; Magnoliopsida; Proteales; Proteaceae. The record is from RefSeq and is a predicted model, not a curated record. The transcript has 3 exons.